This 214-nucleotide long non-coding RNA is filed under the name Carica papaya (papaya). Its description in RNAcentral is "long non-coding RNA (CPAP_LNC007819)". The record is from RNAcentral. Lineage: Eukaryota; Viridiplantae; Streptophyta; Magnoliopsida; Brassicales; Caricaceae.
GCCCCCCUAACGUGUUUUCUCGCAAGAAUGAGUAUAAAAUCGGUCGAAAAUAACCAGACAGAGGCAAACUGCCGCCUCGGAUGGCAGUGCCAUCAUCGGAGCACAGCGGUGCCGCCGUGCCGGAAUUUCAAAAUUGGCCGGAAAAGGUUUUUAACAUCGAUUUUAGAUUUUUUUGGAGUAUUUUUAUAUAUGUGAAGAGUGUUUUAAUCUCCAC